UUUCCUAUUAUAAGGUAAUAUUUUUUAAAAAACCUAUGCCCUUUGACGGCCCUUUUUCUGAUUAGAGGAACUUGUUGUUUUUCGAAAAUACCCGUUCAAUUUUACUUUUUUUAGCUUUUAUACCGCCGUCUUAAGAAUGAAUUAACACACGCUUUCUUAAUAGUUUUUCUAAAAAGUCAGGUCAAGGUGAAGCUUUACUUCAGUUCACAAUAAGUUAUACAUUAACAAAAUUAAGGGAAAAUAAAUUAAAAUUUAUUUACAAUUAAGAUUUAACAGUAUAAAUUUAAUAACAAUUUAUUUAGAAUUAGAAAAAAAGGGUGC
This 321-nucleotide ribosomal RNA is filed under the name Stanwellia sp. MYG419. RNAcentral describes it as "partial 12S ribosomal RNA". Lineage: Eukaryota; Metazoa; Arthropoda; Arachnida; Araneae; Nemesiidae. The record is from RNAcentral.